This is a long non-coding RNA of Xiphophorus hellerii (green swordtail), 1611 nucleotides long. RefSeq lists it as uncharacterized. The record is from RefSeq and is a predicted model, not a curated record. NCBI's taxonomy places the organism in Eukaryota, Metazoa, Chordata, Actinopteri, Cyprinodontiformes, Poeciliidae. The transcript has 3 exons.
CCGUACCUGCUGUGGUAUGAGUGGUUGUGUAUUCCAACCCUGACUGGUUUCGAUGGAGCGCGGCGGCGUGGCGAAGUGACCUGUAACGCCAUUGCCAUAUGUUUGGCUCUAGAUUCCACAUGUUUCGACUGAGCUGCACCAAACUUGGCAAGAGUGAUCCUGAUUGGAUGCCUGGUGAUCCUAUAUCGUCAUAGUCUGACGUCUAAGCCCCGCCCCAUCAGAACAGGAAGUGCCUUUUUUUUCUUGGAAAGCGUUAUCUCUGGCUCUCUUGACCUAAUCAAGAUGAUUUUGUGUUGGAUGACAGAUAACAAUUGGGCUCACUUGCUUUAAAGUGCUAAGAGUUUUCAAUGGAGGGCGUGGCCAUGGCGACGCAGCGAAGUGACAGGUCACGCCGCUGCCAUAUGUUUGGCUCUAAAUUCCACAGUUUCAAGCUGAGUUGCACCAAACUUACUGGGAUGGAUCCUUAUCCAGCCCCAGACAGGAAUCCAUAAGAAUCCUUGGUGGGCGUGGCCUAAUUUAUCUACAGCGCCCCCUAGAAGUUUUUAAAAAAUCAGCCCCAAGUCAUGCUUCAACCCAGACUCAUGAAACUUGGUACACAUGUGUAUCUGGUCAGGACCUACAAAAAAAGUCGCCAUGGUCCAAACUCAACAGGAAGACGGCCAUUUUGGAUCAAAGUUGCCAUUUCCUCUUUUUUAUAGACGUCGCAUCUGAUCGAACUCGUUAUCAGCUUUUGAGAUACGGACUUCAGAAUCACUCAGCAUAACCUUGAGGCACUGAAGGUCAAACAGUUAUCACAGGAUUUUUCAUGUGGGCGUGGCUUAGUGUCAAAGUCUGACUAUUUGCCAUAAAACAUCAAGGUGCAAUAACUUCCACAUACAAAGUCAGAGCUGCAUCAGACUUUCUAUGUCUCAUUAUAGACCAGCCCUCAUCACAUUCACAUGGUUACCUGAUGACAUAACCUAAGCCCCUCCCACUUCCAACAGGAAGUCACUAUCUGGUCUAUCAGACCCUACAGGAAGUUCUUGCUAAUCUUUCACUACUAAACAGGAAGUGACAAUAACUCAUCUCCCGGAUGUCAGAUAUCAGCCAUCACAUUUUUACACAUGUGCUCCUUUACCCAAUAACAACACUUCUGAUAAGCAACUAUCGACGCACAGUCGACAAUAAACGUUUUGAUUCAUAUUCAAUUGCCCUGAUUAAAUGAUUUUUUCCUGUGCCAGCACCACCUGUAAUAAAAAUGUGCAGUUGUUAAGGAUUUAUUCCAUUAAGCUUGGCUAAACAAUACUGCCUGAUUUAAUUAAAAACAAAACAGAGAACUGUUUUUCAUUCAAAGAUCUAAUCAAUGCAAGGCUUUCAAUUCUUCUAAUUUAUUUUUCUCAAAUAAUGAAACGUCUUUACACUGCAGACUUAAAUCAGGUAUUUGUUCCUGAUCACUGUUUUCUAUUUGUCUUCCUUUUUGUAAUACCACACACUCCAAGCGUUCCAGUUCAACCUCAGAACACCAUUCAGCCCAUCGUCGUCCAGCAUUACAUCACCAGUAACAUUGUCCACAGAUUCCAACUCAAACUCACUCCUACUUAAAUCUACAACAGACUUUACUGAAGGUUUUGU